RNAcentral lists this long non-coding RNA (1716 nucleotides) under Diabrotica virgifera virgifera (western corn rootworm). Its description in RNAcentral is "uncharacterized LOC126879593". Lineage: Eukaryota; Metazoa; Arthropoda; Insecta; Coleoptera; Chrysomelidae. The record is from RNAcentral.
UGCAAACUUUCAUAAAAAUCGGUCAAGUCGUUUCGGAGGAGUAUGGCAACAAACACUGUAAAAAGAGCAUUUUAUACAUAUAGCUGUAAAAAUUUUGGUGGCUACUAAAAUCACAAUAUAAAACCGUAUAAACCUUCCCUGAACUUCCACAAAUAAUUCAACAUCAAAAUUAGCCAAAUCGGUCCACACAUUCUCGAGUUUUAGCGAGACUAACGCACAGCAAUAGAUUUUUAUAUAUAAGAUGCAAAACUUUAGAUGGCUAUUAAAAAAUAACGAUAGAAAAGUGAAAAUUUAGGGUUGUAUUUACCUUUGCCUUCCACAUCACAUAAAAUUAAGAAAAAACAGUUUGAUCAAAAAAAUAAAAAAAUAUUUUAGGGGGGCAGCCCCCGUUACGACGUACGGAUAUGAAAAAUACAUAACAACCUAUUCUCGGUCCGGUCAAAUACACGUGGAAAAUUUCAUAAAAAUCUAUUCAGUCGUUCUCGAGUUAUGUGUUGGUAACUGUCACGACUUUCUUUUGUUUAUAUAGAUGUAAAAUAUUUAAAUGGCCAUUAAAAAAUAACGGUUAGUGAUAGAAAAGUGAAAAUUUAGGGUUUUAUGUAUCUUUAAGUUCCACAUCGUAUGCAAUUAAAAAAAAGAGUUUGUCUGAAAAAAUAGAAAUAAAUAUAAGGGUGGCAAGCCCCCUUAAGACGCACGGGUAUGAAAUAUAGAUAACGACCUACUCCCGGUCCGGUCGAGUACACUUGCAAACUUUCAUAAAAAUCGGUCAAGUCGUUUCGGAGGAGUAUGGCAACAAACACUGUAAAAAGAGCAUUUUAUACAUAUAGCUGUAAAAAUUUUACAAGAAUCUACAGGUCGAGCAAGUCUCGUAAAUUUCACGAUUGCGAGCCACGCUUCACGCAACCGUGUUUGCGUACUUGUGUUUCGAGUUGCGUGGUCGUGCGGAGUUAUAUUUACCAAAUUUAAAUGUAAUCCUUUCUACUGAUAAUAAUAUAGUCAAUAUGGCUACUGGGUGUAUAAAAGAUAAAUCUUAUUCUAUCUGUUCUUCAUGAGUUUUAGAUAAUUUUAGUUGUAUUUCUUUGUAAUUUUGUGUUGUACAAAGAUUAAUUUAACAUUUUCUCUGGAAGUAUUAAUUUAGAAAGAUAAUAUGCUUCAUUGGUGUUGUGUUUUGAAGUGUGAAAUGCAAAGUAAUUGUGAUAAAGUCAAGAUAAAGUUCACUUUUAAACUGAACUAAAUAAGGUAUCUGAGAGACAACAAUGGUUAAAUGCAAUACAAUGUACAGGUUUUACUAGCGAAAUGAAAAUUUUCCUGUCCUGUCUGCUGUAAUCAUUUUAUAUCUGGAAAACCAGCAGACUUAAUCGAUAAUAACAAUCUCCAGAUUGGGUUCCUUCAAUAAAUAUGGGCUAUAAACACAAUGAAAUAAGUUCCCCAAAAUCUAAAAUGGAGUGGUAUCAAAGGAGAAUUAAAGGAAAAAAUAUUCAUAUUGAAAUUAUUUAUAAGGCACUGGACUGUCUUAAAUUCUACAAUAAUACUAGAAUCAGCUGAGAGAAGUGGUCUACAAAAAACCAGGAAGGAAACGGAAUAUGUGGCUACGAAAGGCAAAAGAAAGGUUUACAAAGCAAAUGUGACACAUUUUUUUGAAAUAUUUAGGAAUAUCAGUAAAUUGCAUUAAAAAAUGUAUGAAAAGAUUUUGUUCAAUAAAAAUGUUUAUAUUUA